Molecule: ribosomal RNA, 508 nt
Filed under: uncultured bacterium
Lineage: Bacteria
Description: partial 16S ribosomal RNA
Rfam family: Bacterial small subunit ribosomal RNA
Source: RNAcentral
GACGAACGCUGGCGGCGUGCCUAAUACAUGCAAGUCGAACGCUUCUUUCCUCCCGAGUGCUUGCACUCAAUUGGAAAGAGGAGUGGCGGACGGGUGAGUAACACUUGGGUAACCUACCCAUCAGAGGGGGAUAACACUUGGAAACAGGUGCUAAUACCGCAUAACAGUUUAUGCCGCAUGGCAUAAGAGUGAAAGGCGCUUUCGGGCGUCGCUGAUGGAUGGACCAGCGGUGCAUUAGCUAGUUGGUGAGGUAACGGCUCACCAAGGCAACGAGGCAUAGCCGACCUGAGAGGGUGAUAGGCCACACUCGAACUCAGACACGGCCCAGACUCCUACGGGAGGCAGCAGUAGGGACUCUUCGGCAAUGGACGAAAGUAUGACCGAGAAGCGCCGCGUGAGUGACAAAGGUUUUCGGAUCGUAAAACUCUGUUGUUAGAGAAAAACAAGGACGUUAGUAACUGAACGGAACCUGACGGUACCUAAUAAGAGAGCCACGGCUAACUACGUG